AGAGCGAACGCUGGCGGCAGGCUUAACACAUGCAAGUCGAGCGGGCGUAGCAAUACGUCAGCGGCAGACGGGUGAGUAACGCGUGGGAACGUACCUUUUGGUUCGGAACAACACAGGGAAACUUGUGCUAAUACCGGAUAAGCCCUUACGGGGAAAGAUUUAUCGCCGAAAGAUCGGCCCGCGUCUGAUUAGCUAGUUGGUGAGGUAACGGCUCACCAAGGCGACGAUCAGUAGCUGGUCUGAGAGGAUGAUCAGCCACAUUGGGACUGAGACACGGCCCAAACUCCUACGGGAGGCAGCAGUGGGGAAUAUUGGACAAUGGGCGCAAGCCUGAUCCAGCCAUGCCGCGUGAGUGAUGAAGGCCCUAGGGUUGUAAAGCUCUUUUGUGCGGGAAGAUAAUGACGGUACCGCAAGAAUAACGCCCCGGCUAACUUCGCGCCAGCAGCCGC
Molecule: ribosomal RNA, 449 nt
Filed under: uncultured bacterium
Lineage: Bacteria
Description: SSU rRNA
Rfam family: Bacterial small subunit ribosomal RNA
Source: RNAcentral